AUUGAACGCUGGCGGCAGGCCUAACACAUGCAAGUCGAGCGGUAGAGAGGUGCUUGCAUCUCUUGAGAGCGGCGGACGGGUGAGUAAUGCCUAGGAAUCUGCCUAGUGGUGGGGGAUAACGUUCGGAAACGGACGCUAAUACCGCAUACGUCCUACGGGAGAAAGCGGGGGAUCUUCGGACCUCGCGCCAUUAGAUGAGCCUAGGUCGGAUUAGCUAGUUGGUGAGGUAAUAGGCUCACCAAGGCGACGAUCCGUAACUGGUCUGAGAGGAUGAUCAGUCACACUGGAACUGAGACACGGUCCAGACUCCUACGGGAGGCAGCAGUGGGGAAUA
This 334-nucleotide ribosomal RNA is filed under the name uncultured bacterium. RNAcentral's name for it is "bacterial SSU rRNA". It matches the Rfam family "Bacterial small subunit ribosomal RNA", at positions 30 to 363 of the family's 1533-position model. The record is from RNAcentral.